GAUGAACGCUGGCGGCGUGCCUAAUACAUGCAAGUCGAGCGAACAGACGAGGAGCUUGCUCCUCUGACGUUAGCGGCGGACGGGUGAGUAACACGUGGAUAACCUACCUAUAAGACUGGGAUAACUUCGGGAAACCGGAGCUAAUACCGGAUAAUAUAUUGAACCGCAUGGUUCAAUAGUGAAAGACGGUUUUGCUGUCACUUAUAGAUGGAUCCGCGCCGCAUUAGCUAGUUGGUAAGGUAACGGCUUACCAAGGCGACGAUGCGUAGCCGACCUGAGAGGGUGAUCGGCCACACUGGAACUGAGACACGGUCCAGACUCCUACGGGAGGCAGCAGUAGGGAAUCUUCCGCAAUGGGCGAAAGCCUGCCGGAGCAACGCCGCGUGAGUGAUGAAGGUCUUCGGAUCGUAAAACUCUGUUAUUAGGGAAGAACAAAUGUGUAAGUAACUAUGCACGUCUGGACGGUACCUAAUCAGAAAGCCACGGCUAACUACGG
Molecule: ribosomal RNA, 496 nt
Filed under: uncultured bacterium
Lineage: Bacteria
Description: partial 16S ribosomal RNA
Rfam family: Bacterial small subunit ribosomal RNA
Source: RNAcentral